GGGAAUAUUGGACAAUGGGCGCAAGCCUGAUCCAGCCAUGCCGCGUGAGUGAUGAAGGCCCUAGGGUUGUAAAGCUCUUUCACCGGUGAAGAUAAUGACGGUAACCGGAGAAGAAGCCCCGGCUAACUUCGUGCCAGCAGCCGCGGUAAUACGAAGGGGGCUAGCGUUGUUCGGAUUUACUGGGCGUAAAGCGCACGUAGGCGGACUUUUAAGUCAGGGGUGAAAUCCCAGAGCUCAACUCUGGAACUGCCUUUGAUACUGGAAGUCUUGAGUAUGGUAGAGGUGAGUGGAAUUCCGAGUGUAGAGGUGAAAUUCGUAGAUAUUCGGAGGAACACCAGUGGCGAAGGCGG
RNAcentral lists this ribosomal RNA (350 nucleotides) under Brucella pseudogrignonensis. Its description in RNAcentral is "bacterial SSU rRNA". It matches the Rfam family "Bacterial small subunit ribosomal RNA", at positions 357 to 724 of the family's 1533-position model. The record is from RNAcentral. Lineage: Bacteria; Pseudomonadati; Pseudomonadota; Alphaproteobacteria; Hyphomicrobiales; Brucellaceae.